GACGAACGCUGGCGGCGUGCCUAAUACAUGCAAGUCGAGCGGAAGUUGAAGAGCUUGCUCUUCAACUUUAGCGGCGGACGGGUGAGUAACACGUGGGCAACCUGCCCUGCAGAUCGGGAUAACUCCGGGAAACCGGUGCUAAUACCGAAUAGUUUUCGCCACCUCCUGGUGGCGUACGGAAAGACGGUUUCGGCUGUCACUGCAGGAUGGGCCCGCGGCGCAUUAGCUAGUUGGUGGGGUAACGGCCCACCAAGGCAACGAUGCGUAGCCGACCUGAGAGGGUGAUCGGCCACACUGGGACUGAGACACGGCCCAGACUCCUACGGGAGGCAGCAGUAGGGAAUCUUCCGCAAUGGACGAAAGUCUGACGGAGCAACGCCGCGUGAGUGACGAAGGUUUUCGGAUCGUAAAACUCUGUUGUUAGAGAAGAACAAGGAUGAGAGUAACUGUUCAUCCCUUGACGGUAUCUAACCAGAAAGCCACGGCUAACUACGUGCCAGCCGCCGCCGUAA
Molecule: ribosomal RNA, 512 nt
Filed under: uncultured bacterium
Lineage: Bacteria
Description: partial 16S ribosomal RNA
Rfam family: Bacterial small subunit ribosomal RNA
Source: RNAcentral